GAUGAGAACGUAGCGAAAUGCGAUAAGUAAUGUGAAUUGCAGAAUUCAGUGAAUCAUCGAAUCUUUGAACGCACAUUGCGCCCCUUGGUAUUCCGAGGGGCAUGCCUGUUCGAGCGUCAUUAUAACCCCUCAAGCUCAGCUUGGUGUUGGGGCCUGCUGCACUGGCAGCCCUUAAAAUCAGUGGCGGCGCCAUCUGGCUCUAAGCGUAGUAAUUCUUCUCGCUAUGGAGUCCUGGUGGAUGCUUGCCAUCAACCCCCAAUUUUUCUAUGGUUGACCUCGGAUCAGGUAGGGAUACCCGCUGAACUUAAGCAUAUCAAUAAGCGGAGGA
This 328-nucleotide unclassified non-coding RNA is filed under the name soil metagenome. RNAcentral describes it as "partial contains 5.8S ribosomal RNA, internal transcribed spacer 2, and large subunit ribosomal RNA". The stretch from base 5 to 119 matches the Rfam family "5.8S ribosomal RNA", at positions 40 to 154 of the family's 154-position model. The record is from RNAcentral.